This 3387-nucleotide ribosomal RNA is filed under the name Triticum aestivum (bread wheat). Its description in RNAcentral is "partial small subunit ribosomal RNA". Lineage: Eukaryota; Viridiplantae; Streptophyta; Magnoliopsida; Poales; Poaceae. The record is from RNAcentral.
AUGGAUCCCUCCGGAUCCAGCUCCCGCCACGGGCGCCUCCUCAUCUCGCCCUCGGUGUCAACCCCGACCUUCUCCUCCACCCGCGCCCCGUCCUCGUCCCCGUCGCCGCACCACGACCGCCGCAACUCCACCUCCUCCCCCAAGCCCCUCCUCCCCUUCCCGCCCCCCGCCUCCAGGCCGCACUCGUCCGGCCCCGCCGCCGGGCCCCGCGCCGCCGCGUCCGCCUCGCUCCCGGGCUUUGCGCACAACGCGCGCGUCGCGGCGGCGCUCGCGCCCGCCGCGGCCUUCCUCCUCGACCUCGGCGGGGCCCCCGUCCUCGCCGUCCUCGCCGUCGGGCUCGCCGCCGCCUACGCCCUCGACGCGCUGCGGCUCCGGCAGGGCGCCUUCUUCACCGUGUGGGCGGCGCUGCUCGCCGCCGACGUGGCCUUCUUCUUCUCGGCGUCCCUCUCGUCCGCCGCCGCCGCCUCGCUGCCCCUCACCGUCCUCGCGCUGCUCCUCUGCGCGGAGACCUCCUUCCUCAUAGGCGUCUGGGCGUCGCUCCAGUUCCGCUGGAUCCAGCUUGAGAACCCUACCAUCGUCGCGGCGCUCGAGCGGCUCCUCUUCGCGUGCGUGCCUAUCGCCGCAUCUGCGGUCUUCACAUGGGCAGUCGUGUCCGCAGUCGGGAUGGCCAAUGCUUCCUACUACCUUGCCACAUUUGCCAUGGUCUUCUAUUGGCUCUUCUCCGUGCCCCGCACUUCCAGCUUCAAGAACCGGAAACAGGACGCUCCAUUGCAGGACAGUGAUGGCAUUCUUGGCCCCUUGGAGAGCUGCGUGCAUGCGUUGUAUCUGUUGUUUGUGCCAGUGCUGUUCCAUGCCGCAUCCAACCACACCACACUCUUCGCAUCAUGGGCCAAUGUUUGUGAUCUUCUGCUGCUGUUCUUCGUACCAUUCUUGUUCCUGCUCUACGCGUCCACUCGUGGUUCACUGUGGUGGAUUACCAGGGAUUCACGCACAAUGGAUCAGAUAAGGAUGGCGAAUGGCUUGGUUGCACUUGUUAUAGUGGUGCUCUGCCUGGAGGUUCGCGUUGUAUUUCACGCUUUUGGAAGGUACAUUCAUGCUCCCCCGCCGCUGAAUUACCUGCUUGUGACUGUCACGAUGCUUGGUGGUGCUUUGGGUCUGGCUGCGCAUGCUGCUGGCAAGGUUGGAGAUGCUGUUAGCUCGGUGGCGUUUAUGGGGUUGGCAGUGCUUGUCAGUGGAGCAGGUGCCGUAGUCAUUGGUUUUCCGCUUGUGUUCCUUCCACUCCCAAUGAUGUCUGGUUAUUAUGUGGCAAGGUUCUUUACCAAGAAAAGCCUGUCAUCAUACUUCACCUUUGUGGGAAUAUCAAGCUUGAUGGUCCUUUGGUUUGUGGUGCAUAACUACUGGGAUCUAAAUAUUUGGGUUGCUGGCAUGCCAUUGAAAUCGUUUACCAAGUACAUUGUUGCAGCUGUAAUCAUGGCAAUGGCUGUUCCUGGUUUGGCACUGCUCCCUGCAAAACUGCGCUUUCUUGUGGAACUUGGUCUUAUUGGUCAUGCACUGUUGUUAUGCUACAUUGAGAACCGACUCUUCAACUAUGCUGCCAUGUACUACUUUGGGUUUGAGGAUGAUAUCAUUUAUCCAAGUUAUAUGGUUUUGAUCACAACAUUUUUUGGAUUGGCUCUUGUAAGAAGAUUAUCUGUUGACCAGAGAGUUGGGCCCAAAGCUACUUGGAUCUUGACUUGUCUCUAUUCUUCAAAGUUAUCUAUGUUGUUUAUCACAUCAAGAUCGGUGGUAUGGGUUUCAGCCGUUCUGCUACUUGCUGUCACACCCCCUGUACUUCUUUACAGGGACAAGUCCAAAGGGGGGGCUCCAAGGAUGAAGAUCUGGCAAGCUUAUUUUCAUGCAUCUGUAGUAGCCUUUUCUGCAUGGCUCUGCCGGGAAACAGUUUUCGAAGCUUUACAGUGGUGGAACGGAAGGCCUCCUUCAGAUGGUCUGCUUUUGGGGUCAUAUAUUUUGUUGUCUGGUGUUGCUUGCAUCCCAAUAGUGGCGCUCCAUUUCCCUCAUGCUCAGUCAGCAAAGAGAUUCCUGGUGCUUGUUGUGGCCACAGGGCUUCUUUUCGUUAUUAUGCAGCCUCCUGUUAAACUGUCAUGGGUAUACCGGUCGGAGCUGAUCAGAGCAGCACAUUUAUCUGAUGAUGACACGUCAAUAUAUGGUUUUGUAGCAUCCAAGCCCACAUGGCCAUCAUGGCUGCUCAUAGCAACAGUGGUACUUACAUUAGCAGCUGCUACAUCUAUCAUCCCAGUGAAGUAUAUUGUUGAGUUGAGGGCUUUGUAUGCAGUGGGAGUUGGAAUUACACUAGGCAUCUACAUAUCUGUCCAGUACUUCUUCCAAGCAGUUGUUCUGUAUCCUCUUCUUGUUGCGACAAUCGUCUGUGCUGCAGUCUUUAUAGUAUUCACACAUCUCCCAUCUGAGUCCAGCACAAGGGUUUUGCCAUGGGUGUUUUCUUUGUUAGUAGCUUUGUUCCCAGUCACCUACCUGCUGGAAGGACAGUUAAGGGCCAACAGUUUUGCAGAAGAGGAGGAAGCAGAGAAGUUCACCAACAUGUUGGCUAUAGAAGGGGCCAGAAUGUCGCUUUUGGGUCUCUAUGCUGCUAUAUUCAUGAUCAUUGCACUAGAAAUUAAGUUUGAACUGGCUUUGCUGUUGCAUGAUAAAGCCGCAGAUGUUACACAUGGUGUAUCUGGUGGUCGGGGCUCUGCAUUUCCACCCAAAGCAAGGCUACUGCAGCAACGGAGAUCUCAUGCUGCACCAACUUUCACCAUCAAGAGAUUGGCAGCGGAAGCAGCUUGGAUGCCUGCGAUCGGCAACUUGUCUACGGUUUUGUGCUUCAUCAUCUGCCUUGUUCUCAACGUAACACUUACUGGUGGCUCGAACCGUGCUAUUUUCUUCCUAGCGCCCAUCCUUCUGCUUUUGAACCAGGAUUCAGACAUCGUUGCAGGAUUCGGUGACAGACAGCGUUACUUCCCUGUGACAAUUUCUAUUUCUGGGUAUUUGCUAUUGGCAUCAUUGUAUAAGAUAUGGGAGGAGGCUUGGCCUGGCACUGGCAGUGGAGGAUGGGCUCUUGAUAUCGGGGGCUCAGUUUGGCUCUAUGCUGUGAAAAAUGUUGCUCUUCUCGUGCUCACGCUACCCAAUCACAUACUCUUCAAUCGGUUCAUGUGGGACUAUGUCAGGCAGACCGAUUCGAAGCUACUUCUGACACUGCCUCUCAACCUGCCAUCGAUUAUAAUGACAGAUGUACUUUCUGUGCGGGUUUUAGGGCUGUUGGGAGCUAUUUAUUCUCUAGCACAGUACCUGAUAUCAAGGCGGAUAAGAAUUGCUGGGAUGAAAUAUAUUUGA